Molecule: non-coding RNA, 87 nt
Organism: Malassezia cuniculi
Lineage: Eukaryota; Fungi; Basidiomycota; Malasseziomycetes; Malasseziales; Malasseziaceae
Source: the annotation of a GenBank genome assembly
GGGCGCAUGGUCUAGUGGUAUGAUUCUUCUUUAGGGUGUUUCGACGCAAUUUAGAAGAGGUCCUGGGUUCAAUUCCCAGUGCGCCCC